This 440-nucleotide ribosomal RNA is filed under the name uncultured bacterium. RNAcentral's name for it is "partial 16S ribosomal RNA". It matches the Rfam family "Bacterial small subunit ribosomal RNA", at positions 339 to 795 of the family's 1533-position model. The record is from RNAcentral.
CUACGGGCUGCUCCAGUGAGGAAUAUUGCACAAUGGGGGAAACCCUGAUGCAGCAACGCCGCGUGGAGGAUGACGCAUUUCGGUGUGUAAACUCCUUUUAUGGGUCAAGAAAAUGAUGGUAGCUCAUGAAUAAGCACCGGCUAACUCCGUGCCAGCGAGCCGCGGUAAUACGGAGGGUGCAAGCGUUACUCGGAAUCACUGGGCGUAAAGGACGCGUAGGCGGGUUGGAAAGUCAGGUGUGAAAUCCUACGGCUUAACUGUAGAACUGCACUUGAAACUUCUAAUCUAGAGUAUGGGAGGGGGAGAUGGAAUUAGUGGUGUAGGGGUAAAAUCCGUAGAUAUCACUAGGAAUACCUAAAGCGAAGGCGAUCUCCUGGAACAUUACUGACGCUAAGGCGUGAAAGCGUGGGGAGCAAACAGGAUUAGAUACCCUAGUAGUC